AUUGAACGCUGGCGGCAUGCCUAACACAUGCAAGUCGAACGGUAACAGGCCCUUCGGGCGCUGACGAGUGGCGGACGGGUGAGUAAUGCUUAGGAAUCUGCCUAGUAGUGGGGGAUAACCCGGGGAAACUCGGGCUAAUACCGCAUACGUCCUACGGGAGAAAGCGGGGGACCUUCGGGCCUCGCGCUAUUAGAUGAGCCUAAGUCCGAUUAGCUAGUUGGUAGGGUAACGGCCUACCAAGGCGACGACGGUAGCUGGUCUGAGAGGACGACCAGCCACACUGGGACUGAGACACGGCCCAGACUCCUACGGGAGGCAGCAGUGGGGAAUAUUGGACAA
Molecule: ribosomal RNA, 339 nt
Filed under: uncultured bacterium
Lineage: Bacteria
Description: bacterial SSU rRNA
Rfam family: Bacterial small subunit ribosomal RNA
Source: RNAcentral